Molecule: long non-coding RNA, 452 nt
Filed under: Chrysolophus pictus (golden pheasant)
Lineage: Eukaryota; Metazoa; Chordata; Aves; Galliformes; Phasianidae
Description: lncRNA (ENSCPIG00010003325.1)
Source: RNAcentral
GAAGAGUCUCAGAUCUCAUCAUACGGAUCCUGUCUUUCCUCUUGGCAUUGUCACUUCUUUUAGAAGAUCAAGCAUCUGUUCUUAUCUCCCACACUAGUGUCAGUGGGCAGAAGGAUGCAGCAGCCUGCCUGCCCUGCUCCUGCGCUGUCAGUCUCAACUGAGGAAUAAGCAGGAGGAGCUUGGAGACAAGAUCUGGGCCUGUCCUCAUCUCUGUCACACUUAUAAAUCUGGAGAAAUUCCACUUGUUCCUUGAGGACACGCAAGGAUUUUAUUACAGCAGUGUUGAAAACUGGAAUCCGGCACAUCAGAUUAACAUAAAAUGCAAGGGAAAAGUACCCAGCAACAAGCAAAGGGCAAUACAGAAAAUAGGAGCUACUCAAAGUGGAGCACAGGCUGGAUUUUUUCCCCGUGGUUGUGAAGGCAGCUCCAUUUUGAAGAAGGAAGUUCAGUAA